GGGAAGGUGGCUCAGUGGUAGAGCUCUUGCCUUGCAUGCUCGAGGCCCUGGGUUCGAU
Molecule: transfer RNA, 58 nt
Filed under: Dipodomys ordii (Ord's kangaroo rat)
Lineage: Eukaryota; Metazoa; Chordata; Mammalia; Rodentia; Heteromyidae
Rfam family: tRNA
About the family: Transfer RNA (tRNA) molecules are approximately 80 nucleotides in length. Their secondary structure includes four short double-helical elements and three loops (D, anti-codon, and T loops).
Source: Rfam by way of RNAcentral